RNAcentral lists this ribosomal RNA (368 nucleotides) under uncultured organism. Its description in RNAcentral is "bacterial LSU rRNA". It matches the Rfam family "Bacterial large subunit ribosomal RNA", at positions 2099 to 2465 of the family's 2925-position model. The record is from RNAcentral.
CUUUACUGUAGCUUUGCAUUGGACUUUGAACCGGUCUGUGUAGGAUAGGUGGGAGGCUUUGAAGCGUGGUCGCUAGAUCGCGUGGAGCCAACCUUGAAAUACCACCCUGGUUUGUUUGAGGUUCUAACCAUGGCCUGUGAAUCCAGGUCUGGGACCGUGCAUGGUAGGCAGUUUGACUGGGGCGGUCUCCUCCCAAAGAGUAACGGAGGAGUACGAAGGUACGCUAGGUACGGUCGGACAUCGUGCUAAUAGUGCAAUGGCAUAAGCGUGCUUGACUGCGAGACCCACAAGUCGAGCAGGUACGAAAGUAGGUCAUAGUGAUCCGGUGGUUCUGUAUGGAAGGGCCAUCGCUCAACGGAUAAAAGGUA